UGCCAGACUCCUACGGGAGGCAGCAGUGGGGAAUAUUGCACAAUGGGGGAAACCCUGAUGCAGCGACGCCGCGUGAGUGAAGAAGUAUUUCGGUAUGUAAAGCUCUCUCAGCAGGGAAGAUAAUGACGGUACCUGACUAAGAAGCCCCGGCUAACUACGUGCCAGCAGCCGCGGUAAUACGUAGGGGGCAAGCGUUAUCCGGAUUUACUGGGUGUAAAGGGAGCGUAGGUGGCAGGGCAAGUCAGAUGUGAAAACCCGGGGCUCAACUCCGGGAGUGCAUUUGAAACUGUCCAGCUAGAGUGCAGGAGAGGUAAGCGGAAUUCCUAGUGUAGCGGUGAAAUGCAUAGAUAUUACGCAGAACUCCGAUUGCGAAGGCAGCAUACCGGCGCGCAACUGACGCUCAUGCACGAAAGCGUGGGCAUCGAACAGGAUUAGAUACCCGGGUAUA
RNAcentral lists this ribosomal RNA (448 nucleotides) under uncultured bacterium. RNAcentral's name for it is "bacterial SSU rRNA". It matches the Rfam family "Bacterial small subunit ribosomal RNA", at positions 329 to 794 of the family's 1533-position model. The record is from RNAcentral.